GGGAGCCUCAGCUGGAGGAGGGGGAGGCAAAGCAGUUCCUUGGAAUCCGUGUUUCCUGCUCCCUCCACUGGUCUGCACCUGAUCAGACAUGGGGACUGCCGAGGUGCCUGUCACACUCGUCCGGAGCCUCAAUCAGCACUCCAGGUCUUCUCUAUCCCUUGGCCAUCAUGGUGGCCUAAGUGGACUCCCUUUUAGAGUGGCAUCUUCCUCUUCUCUUCAAAGCCCACUUCAAGAGUCCCCUUCUGGAGGCAGAGCAAACACUUUCCUCUGUGCCCUGAGAGCACUUUGAGUCAUCACCCCCUACGCUGCCUGCUGGUGUCACACUGGAGGCCCUGCGCUCUCUGACAGGUGGCCUGUUUCCUAGGCCACCCUGAAACCCUGCCUCCAGCUCACUGCAGGCUACAGAGCAAGUUUUAUAAGACAUUUGCUGAACAAGUCACUUUUUUUUAUUUUGCAUAAACUGCAAAUAUAAUUUUAAUUGGAUUACCAACUUAUUCAAACACUAUUCAACUCUAAUUAAACAAAGAGGCCUUUAUUCACCACGGAUCCCAGAGAUGUUGGCUACAGGCGGUGAGAAAACUGGAGGCUCUUCAGAGCUCCACGUACUACAGGAGAGGGCUAUAUUUGGGAGCCAAUUAAUUUCACAAUGUCGAAAACUAAUGCAUUUAAGAUUCUGCUGUUCGCAUCCAUUUUUCCCCAUUAAAACAUUUUAACUGCG
This 718-nucleotide long non-coding RNA is filed under the name Rattus norvegicus (Norway rat). Its description in RNAcentral is "long non-coding RNA NONRATT018070". The record is from RNAcentral. Lineage: Eukaryota; Metazoa; Chordata; Mammalia; Rodentia; Muridae.